Long non-coding RNA from Cheilinus undulatus (humphead wrasse), 846 nucleotides. RefSeq lists it as uncharacterized. The transcript is spliced from 2 exons. Lineage: Eukaryota; Metazoa; Chordata; Actinopteri; Labriformes; Labridae. The record is from RefSeq and is a predicted model, not a curated record.
GCCUGGUGUUGGUUCUCCCAGAGGGAGGAUGUAGCUGGCUCUGUGUUGUAACCCUGUUUUGCAAUCACUACAAACAUCAGUUGGCUUCUAAACCAUCUACACAUAAAGCUGAUUGUUCCAGCUUCGCACACACACUUCAGGAGAUUGCCCUCCUCUCACAGAGCGCUACAUUAUUAACCCAGCAGGGAGAAAGUCUGUACAAAGGAGAAGAAAACAGUUGUACUAACAGACGGACUUUAAUGUUGACAGCAGGUGCUGUCAUGUGAAAAAUGAAAAUGAAGCCAAACCAGUGCUGACUUGUUCACCCAAUUGUUAGAGAAGGUCCUCUUAAAAUGAGUUACUUGGAAAUAAAGAGAGAGAAACCUAGCACUCUUUUGAAUCAGACUUUUGUGUUUUAAGUUCAUGUUGAUGAUAAAUACUUUGAUAUGAUGCUCUUUAUAACUAGUACACAAAAAAACCUUAUUUAACCGACAUAACGCAGAAAAAAUGAUGGCUUGUCGCCUGUUUUAACCUAAAGACAAACCCAAAUCUUCCACACUUAUGAUGGUUUGCAUGUGAUGUAACUUUAUUUGCAUAAAAGGAAGAUAACCCGCCACAAACAUUACAGUCCUGCAUCAAAUGUUUUAAGAAAUGGACCUAAUUGUUUCUAAAUGUUGUAAUAUUUCCCUCCUUUUGUUUAGUUCAGAUUUGUAAGAGAAGGGUUGCAUUUUUAAUGGAGGCAUCAAACUUGACAGUAACAAAAUGCAAGUAAGAGGCAAUAAAUAAAUCUCAGAGUCAGAGUUUCUGGUAACAAAUCCACCUGGUGCACACGUUUCCCUGAGGAGGAGAAACACAUGCAACACAACA